UGAAAGGCCCUGGAGACUGAAGUCUUCUGUUUAUCCACAGAGCAGCUAUAGCACUGAUAGAUGAAGUAUAAUCUUCCCCAUACCACCGUAUCAAUGUACCUUAGCCACCCACAUGGCUGAGGAUAUUUCAGGCUACGUUCAGCCCUUUGUUUCUACUAAGACUGAU
This 166-nucleotide small RNA is filed under the name Chelonoidis abingdonii (Abingdon island giant tortoise). Its description in RNAcentral is "TUC338 (ENSCABG00000000903.1)". The record is from RNAcentral. Lineage: Eukaryota; Metazoa; Chordata; Testudines; Testudinidae.